AUUCUGUGAUGAGGGCACUUCCAUAAUGAUUCUUUGUACCUUUCCCAUGCCUCAUACAAGGACUCGUCAUCCAUUUGUUGAAAAGCAGUGAUCUCCUUCCUCAACUU
RNAcentral lists this small nucleolar RNA (107 nucleotides) under Gossypium hirsutum (cotton). Its description in RNAcentral is "Plant small nucleolar RNA R71". It matches the Rfam family "Plant small nucleolar RNA R71". Rfam says of the family: R71 is a member of the C/D box family of snoRNAs containing the C (UGAUGA) and D (CUGA) box motifs. Multiple nearly identical copies of this snoRNA have been identified in Arabidopsis, and it is thought to function as a 2'-O-ribose methylation guide for 18S ribosomal RNA. Lineage: Eukaryota; Viridiplantae; Streptophyta; Magnoliopsida; Malvales; Malvaceae. The record is from Rfam by way of RNAcentral.